CAAUAGCGUAUAUUUAAGUUGUUGCAGUUAAAAAGCUCGUAGUUGGAUUUCGGUUAAGAGCGACCGGCCCGCCGUUUGGUGUGCACUGGUUGGUUUUAACUUCCUGUAGAGGACGUGCUCUGGGUUUAACGACCUGGACUCGGAGUCUACGUGGUUACUUUGAAAAAAUUAGAGUGUUCAAAGCGGGCUUACGCUUGAAUAUUUCAGCAUGGAAUAACACUAUAGGACUCCUGUCCUAUUUCGUUGGUCUCGGGACGGGAGUAAUGAUUAAGAGGAACAGUUGGGGGCAUUCGUAUUUCAUUGUCAGAGGUGAAAUUCUUGGAUUUAUGAAAGACGAACUUCUGCGAAAGCAUUUGCCAAGGAUGUUUUCAUUGA
RNAcentral lists this ribosomal RNA (375 nucleotides) under uncultured eukaryote. RNAcentral describes it as "partial 18S ribosomal RNA". It matches the Rfam family "Eukaryotic small subunit ribosomal RNA", at positions 592 to 976 of the family's 1831-position model. The record is from RNAcentral.